RNAcentral lists this ribosomal RNA (252 nucleotides) under uncultured bacterium. RNAcentral describes it as "partial 16S ribosomal RNA". It matches the Rfam family "Bacterial small subunit ribosomal RNA", at positions 524 to 776 of the family's 1533-position model. The record is from RNAcentral.
UACGUAGGUCCCGAGCGUUGUCCGGAUUUAUUGGGCGUAAAGCGAGCGCAGGUGGUUUAUUAAGUCUGGUGUAAAAGGCAGUGGCUCAACCAUUGUGUGCAUUGGAAACUGGUAGACUUGAGUGCAGGAGAGGAGAGUGGAAUUCCAUGUGUAGCGGUGAAAUGCGUAGAUAUAUGGAGGAACACCGGUGGCGAAAGCGGCUCUCUGGCCUGUAACUGACACUGAGGCUCGAAAGCGUGGGGAGCAAACAGG